GCCGGGGUGGCGGAACUGGCAGACGCAACGGACUUAAAAUCCGUCGGAAAGAGAUUUCCGUACCGGUUCGAUUCCGGUCCUCGGCACCA
Molecule: transfer RNA, 89 nt
Filed under: Sporomusa sphaeroides DSM 2875
Lineage: Bacteria; Bacillati; Bacillota; Negativicutes; Selenomonadales; Sporomusaceae
Description: tRNA-Leu
Rfam family: tRNA
About the family: Transfer RNA (tRNA) molecules are approximately 80 nucleotides in length. Their secondary structure includes four short double-helical elements and three loops (D, anti-codon, and T loops). Further hydrogen bonds mediate the characteristic L-shaped molecular structure. tRNAs have two regions of fundamental functional importance: the anti-codon, which is responsible for specific mRNA codon recognition, and the 3' end, to which the tRNAs corresponding amino acid is attached (by aminoacyl-tRNA synthetases). tRNAs cope with the degeneracy of the genetic code in two manners: having more than one tRNA (with a specific anti-codon) for a particular amino acid; and 'wobble' base-pairing, i.e. permitting non-standard base-pairing at the 3rd anti-codon position.
Source: RNAcentral